AAGUCGUAACAAGGUUUCCGUAGGUGAACCUGCGGAAGGAUCAUUACCGAGUGGCGCGAAAUUCCUGUCGUGAGACGGGGAAGCUACCCGACCUUUUGUCAUUUUGUCAAGUCUGGCUGGCGGGAUUGCAUUCGUGAGAAAGCGAAUGUGGAUUUCGGCAGACGGACCAAAACUUCGGCGGAAGAGGUAGGCGUGGACCUGCCCGCCGCCGGCCGUAUAAGACAAUACACAUUCUUGAGAGCAAACUGAAGUCUAAGACGAUCCUUGAAAAAGGAAUACCAAAAAAAGCAAAACUUUCAACAACGGAUCUCUUGGCUCUG
Molecule: unclassified non-coding RNA, 320 nt
Filed under: fungal sp.
Lineage: Eukaryota; Fungi
Description: partial internal transcribed spacer region
Rfam family: Eukaryotic small subunit ribosomal RNA (bases 1-46)
Source: RNAcentral